UACGUAGGGUGCGAGCGUUGUCCGGAAUUAUUGGGCGUAAAGAGCUCGUAGGCGGUUUGUCGCGUCUGCUGUGAAAACUGGAGGCUCAACCUCCAGCCUGCAGUGGGUACGGGGCAAACUAGAGUGCGGUAGGGGAGAUUGGAAUUCCUGGUGUAGCGGUGGAAUGCGCAGAUAUCAGGAGGAACACCGAUGGCGAAGGCAGAUCUCUGGGCCGUAACUGACGCUGAGACGCGAAAGCGUGGGGAGCAAACAGG
RNAcentral lists this ribosomal RNA (254 nucleotides) under uncultured bacterium. RNAcentral describes it as "partial 16S ribosomal RNA". It matches the Rfam family "Bacterial small subunit ribosomal RNA", at positions 524 to 776 of the family's 1533-position model. The record is from RNAcentral.